RNAcentral lists this transfer-messenger RNA (352 nucleotides) under Dehalococcoidia. Its description in RNAcentral is "GCA-2712585 sp002712585 Standard tmRNA". It matches the Rfam family "transfer-messenger RNA". Rfam says of the family: Bacterial tmRNA, also known as 10Sa RNA or SsrA, is named for its dual tRNA and mRNA-like properties. Its role is to liberate the mRNA from a stalled ribosome. RNAcentral also lists the same sequence under 1 other name. Lineage: Bacteria; Bacillati; Chloroflexota. The record is from RNAcentral.
GGGGACGCAUGGUUUCGACAGGAAGGAUGUCUGAAGAAUUGCAGGUCGAGAUUGUCACAGCUCUCGUUAAACAUGUGGCACAAACAUAAUUGGCGAAAGAGAAUUCGCUCUAGCCACCUAAACAGGUGGCUCGUCUUUCUUCACUACGCCCGGAUGUGAGGAGUCAGGCGCAAUAGAUCGGGCCGCAGCAGUUUUUUCCGAGGAAACUGUUUAAGAUUAAUCGGAUAGCCCAACGAGAACUAGCUGGUAGGAACUCAAAAGGGCGAAAAGCAAUUACAACCAGCUAAGCUUGUAGUAGAUUCUUGCAGAGUUGUUUCUGGACGGGGGGUUCAACUCCCCCCCGUCUCCACCA